GUGGGGAAUAUUGGACAAUGGGCGCAAGCCUGAUCCAGCCAUGCCGCGUGAGUGAUGAAGGCCCUAGGGUUGUAAAGCUCUUUCACCGGUGAAGAUAAUGACGGUAACCGGAGAAGAAGCCCCGGCUAACUUCGUGCCAGCAGCCGCGGUAAUACGAAGGGGGCUAGCGUUGUUCGGAAUUACUGGGCGUAAAGCGCACGUAGGCGGGUAUUUAAGUCAGGGGUGAAAUCCCGGAGCUCAACUCCGGAACUGCCUUUGAUACUGGGUACCUAGAGUAUGGAAGAGGUAAGUGGAAUUCCGAGUGUAGAGGUGAAAUUCGUAGAUAUUCGGAGGAACACCAGUGGCGAAGGCGGCUCACUGGCUCGAUACUGACGCUGAGGUGCGAAAGCGUGGGGAGCAAACAGGAUUAGAAACCCUGGUAGUCC
Molecule: ribosomal RNA, 425 nt
Filed under: uncultured bacterium
Lineage: Bacteria
Description: partial 16S ribosomal RNA
Rfam family: Bacterial small subunit ribosomal RNA
Source: RNAcentral